This 497-nucleotide ribosomal RNA is filed under the name uncultured bacterium. RNAcentral describes it as "partial 16S ribosomal RNA". It matches the Rfam family "Bacterial small subunit ribosomal RNA", at positions 28 to 507 of the family's 1533-position model. The record is from RNAcentral.
GAUGAACGCUGGCGGCGUGCCUAAUACAUGCAAGUCGAGCGAACAGACGAGGAGCUUGCUCCUUUGACGUUAGCGGCGGACGGGUGAGUAACACGUGGAUAACCUACCUAUAAGACUGGGAUAACUUCGGGAAACCGGAGCUAAUACCGGAUAACAUGUUGAACCGCAUGGUUCAACAGUGAAAGACGGUCUUGCUGUCACUUAUAGAUGGAUCCGCGCCGCAUUAGCUAGUUGGUAAGGUAACGGCUUACCAAGGCAACGAUGCGUAGCCGACCUGAGAGGGUGAUCGGCCACACUGGAACUGGGACACGGUCCAGACUCCUACGGGAGGCAGCAGUAGGGAAUCUUCCGCAAUGGGCGAAAGCCUGACGGAGCAACGCCGCGUGAGUGAAGAAGGUCUUCGGAUCGUAAAACUCUGUUAUUAGGGAAGAACAAAUGUGUAAGUAACUAUGCACGUCUUGACGGUACCUAAUCAGAAAGCCACGGCUAACUACGUG